UGCAGUCGAGCGAACAGAUAAGGAGCUUGCUCCUUUGACGUUAGCGGCGGACGGGUGAGUAACACGUGGGUAACCUACCUAUAAGACUGGAAUAACUCCGGGAAACCGGGGCUAAUGCCGGAUAACAUUUAGAACCGCAUGGUUCUAAAGUGAAAGAUGGUUUUGCUAUCACUUAUAGAUGGACCCGCGCCGUAUUAGCUAGUUGGUAAGGUAACGGCUUACCAAGGCAACGAUACGUAGCCGACCUGAGAGGGUGAUCGGCCACACUGGAACUGAGACACGGUCCAGACUCCUACGGGAGGCAGCAGUAGGGAAUCUUCCGCAAUGGGCGAAAGCCUGACGGAGCAACGCCGCGUGAGUGAUGAAGGUCUUCGGAUCGUAAAACUCUGUUAUUAGGGAAGAACAAAUGUGUAAGUAACUAUGCACGUCUUGACGGUACCUAAUCAGAAAGCCACGGCUAACUACGUGCCAGCAGCCGCG
This 480-nucleotide ribosomal RNA is filed under the name Staphylococcus sp. JL12. RNAcentral describes it as "bacterial SSU rRNA". It matches the Rfam family "Bacterial small subunit ribosomal RNA", at positions 56 to 519 of the family's 1533-position model. Lineage: Bacteria; Bacillati; Bacillota; Bacilli; Caryophanales; Staphylococcaceae. The record is from RNAcentral.